CAUGAGUGGUAUUUGAGUUGUUUGGGAGGACGGGCUCCGUGCUUUGAGCAUCGAACCGUGGUCUCACAUCUCUCUUCAUUGCCUCCUUCCCUGACCCGAUGGUGGAGAACGAGUUCCUGUGUUGCCAACCCAAGAAGGGGAAUUAUCAUGUUGCAAGACCCGUUCUACCUUGUGCUCCCUUGGGGUGCUUGGUGGACAUCGUGGUGGCCCACUAGUUCCAGUCUCUCACCCUCGGUGCGUUUCAUGGACCUAGUGUGUCGCUUGUGCUCUCGGAUGCUGGAAGUGAUGUGGCCAUGGGUGCUUACAUCCUCAAUGGUUGGCCCGACCCUUCGAUUCAUUUAUUAUGACUGCAUCUUCCUUAUCUUUGGUGCUUCGGCUCCGAGCUAGGGAGAUGCGUCGAAUGA
Molecule: unclassified non-coding RNA, 404 nt
Filed under: Linum lewisii
Lineage: Eukaryota; Viridiplantae; Streptophyta; Magnoliopsida; Malpighiales; Linaceae
Description: partial external transcribed spacer
Source: RNAcentral